RNAcentral lists this ribosomal RNA (502 nucleotides) under uncultured bacterium. Its description in RNAcentral is "partial 16S ribosomal RNA". It matches the Rfam family "Bacterial small subunit ribosomal RNA", at positions 30 to 523 of the family's 1533-position model. The record is from RNAcentral.
AUUGAACGCUGGCGGAAUGCUUUACACAUGCAAGUCGAACGGCAGCACGGGUGCUUGCACCUGGUGGCGAGUGGCGAACGGGUGAGUAAUAUAUCGGAACGUACCCAUUAAUGGGGGAUAACAUAUCGAAAGAUGUGCUAAUACCGCAUACGCCCUGAGGGGGAAAGCGGGGGAUCUUAGGACCUCGCGUUAUUGGAGCGGCCGAUAUCGGAUUAGCUAGUUGGUGGGGUAAAGGCCCACCAAGGCGACGAUCCGUAGCUGGUCUGAGAGGACGACCAGCCACACUGGAACUGGGACACGGUCCAGACUCCUACGGGAGGCAGCAGUGGGGAAUUUUGGACAAUGGGCGAAAGCCUGAUCCAGCCAUUCCGCGUGCAGGAUGAAGGCCCUCGGGUUGUAAACUGCUUUUGUACAGAACGAAAAGGUUUCUACUAAUACUAGGAGCUCAUGACGGUACUGUAAGAAUAAGCACCGGCUAACUACGUGCCAGCAGCCGCCGUAA